Molecule: ribosomal RNA, 468 nt
Filed under: uncultured bacterium
Lineage: Bacteria
Description: partial 16S ribosomal RNA
Rfam family: Bacterial small subunit ribosomal RNA
Source: RNAcentral
GACGAACGCUGGCGGCGUGCUUAACACACGCAAGUCGAACGGAAAGGCCCUGCUUUUGUGGGGUGCUCGAGUGGCGAACGGGUGAGUAACACGUGAGUAACCUGCCCUUGACUUUGGGAUAACUUCAGGAAACUGGGGCUAAUACCGUAUAGGAGCUCCUGCUGCAUGGUGGGGGUUGGAAAGUUUCGGCGGUUGGGGAUGGACUCGCGGCUUAUCAGCUUGUUGGUGGGGUAGUGGCUUACCAAGGCUUUGACGGGUAGCCGGCCUGAGAGGGUGACCGGGCACAUUGGGACUGAGAGAGGGCCCAGACUCGUACGGGAGGCAGCAGUGGGGAAUAUUGUACAAUGGGCGGAAGCCUGAUGCAGCAACGCCGCGUGCGGGAUGACGGCCUUCGGGUUGUAAACCGCUUUAGCCUGUGACGAAGCGUGAGUGACGGUAAUGGGUAAAGAAGCACCGGCUAACUACGUG